This 245-nucleotide ribosomal RNA is filed under the name uncultured bacterium. RNAcentral describes it as "partial 16S ribosomal RNA". It matches the Rfam family "Bacterial small subunit ribosomal RNA", at positions 796 to 1041 of the family's 1533-position model. The record is from RNAcentral.
CACGCCGUAAACGAUGGAUACUAGCUGUUGGAUCGUGAGGUUCAGUGGCUAAGCAAAAGUGAUAAGUAUCCCACCUGGGGAGUACGUUCGCAAGAAUGAAACUCAAAGGAAUUGACGGGGACCCGCACAAGCGGUGGAUGAUGUGGUUUAAUUCGAUGCAACGCGAAAAACCUUACCCACCUUUGACAUGGUCGGAACCCUUUAGAGAUAGAGGGGUGCUCGAAAGAGAGCCGAUACACAGGUGC